GGCGAAAGGGUGAGUAAUGCUUGGGUAACUUACCCCUUGGACUGGAAUAGCCACUGGAAACGGUGGGUAAUGCCAGAUGGUCUCGAGGAUGCUGCGGCAUUCACGAGUAAAGCGGGCUUCGGCUCGCACCGAGGGAGAGGCCCGAGUCCUACCAGCUUGUUGGUGAGGUAAUGGCUCACCAAGGCGAAGACGGGUAGCCGGACUGAGAGGUUGGCCGGCCACACUGGCACUGAGACACUGGCCAGACUCCUACGGGAGGCUGCAGUCGAGAAUCUUCCGCAAUGGACGAAAGUCCGACGGAGCGACGCCGCGUGGAGGAAGAAGGCCUUCGGGUUGUAAACUCCUGUCAGAGCUUAUGAACCCCUGGUGGUUAAUACCCAUCAGGCUGACAAAGGGCUCAAAGGAAGCCACAGCUAACUUCGUGCCAGCAGCUGCGGUAAUACGAAGGUGGCGAGCGUUGUUCGGAUUCACUGGGCAUAAAGGGCGCGUAGGCUGCUUGGUAAGCGGUGUGUGAAAGCCCGGGGCUCAACCCCGGAACUGCAGACCGAACUGCCGAGCUAGAGAACGAGAGGGGACUGUGGAACUCUA
This 588-nucleotide ribosomal RNA is filed under the name uncultured bacterium. RNAcentral's name for it is "bacterial SSU rRNA". It matches the Rfam family "Bacterial small subunit ribosomal RNA", at positions 97 to 671 of the family's 1533-position model. The record is from RNAcentral.